UCAUUGGGAUCUCGCGAGAACGAAAUCUUCCUUUCUGUGGGCGGAGCAAUCUUCCCGAUGUCUCUUCCCUCUGAGGCCAGUAGCAGGAAGGGCCUCGGGAGUUGCGAGUGUCGCGAGGUUUGAGGUCGCUCGGUGGGCCGGGCGCUGUGCGAAGCUAGAAAUAACUGGGGGCAUGGAGAAUGCGGUGGCUGUAAAGGGCCGCUGAGGCGGUGGAGGCCUGGCAGAGAGCGUCCCCGCGGUCGCGGCUUCUGGCUUCUCUGUGGAGCUUGGUUCUUCCGUGGUGGUGCAGCACCCCAGGAACUUCAGGAACCAGUCCUUCCUUGGAGAGCUCCCCGGGACAGCCACGGGGGCCAAGUGAAACUAGCGCGUUUUCUUGGAUCCUACACUUUAUAGUGAGUCAUAAAUACUUUAAAUACAAAGCCAACAACAUUUGCUGCAAAUAAACGUAAAAAUACUGUUAAAGUGUAAAGUGUUUUCCUCCGUACCAUCUGACGUUUCUGGCGGUUCGUUGAACGCGAGAGAACGCUGAGCCGUCUGCACUGAGCCCGGGAGCAUCUUCAGGGCAGCGCCGCCCACGCGCGAGUGGCUAGAAGUGACCCCAGGAUUUUUUUAUUAUCAAGAGAGACUAGAAGAAUCAUGAGACUUUUCCUAGUUGCCUUUCAAGAAUAUGAAGAAAAAAAUGGUUCUCAAAGUGGGUUUGAAUGAGUAUUGUUCCAAUAAAUGAACUUAUAUUCAUAUUUCAUCCCCUGAGUCCUGGUGUUUCAACAUCCAUUAGAACUGAAUAAUCAUACUGCAUAUCAAAGUUUGUGGGAAAUUGCUAAAGUGUAAAAAAUGCUCAUAUUGAAAAAGAAGAAAAGCUGAAAAUUAAUUGUGCUUCCAACUUUAAAAAAGGACAACAAGCUAAUCCUAAAGAAACUAGAAUAAAAGGAAAAAAUAAACAGAAGUUAAAGAGUAAUUUUAAAAAAUACAAUAGAAAUUAUCAACGAAGCCAAAAGUUGAUUCUUUGAAAAGAUUAAUGAAGUAGGCAAACCACUGGUGAGAUGAAUCAAGAAAAAUAGAGAAAAGACUCAAAUAAACAUUAGGAAUGGAAAAUAGGGCAAUGCUAAAGAGAAUUCAAAGAUCAGAAAAAUAUGGGAGUAUACUAAAAACGAUUUCAUGCCCAAGUGUUCAAAUCUAUAUUGCCUUUAAAAAUAUAUAAAAAAGGAGCCGGACACUGGCUCAUGCCUAUAAUCCCAGCACUUUGGAAGGCUGAGGUGGGUGAAUCACAAGGUCAAGAGAUCAAGACCAUCCUGGCUAACACAGGGAAAACCCGUCUCUACUAAAAAUACAAAAAAUUAGCUGGGCGUGGUGGCACACGCUUAUAGUCCCAGCUGCUCAGGAGGCUGAGGCAGGAGAAUUGCUUGAACCCAUGAGGCAGAGGUUGCAGCGAGCAGAGAUGGCCCCACUGGACUCCAGCCUUGGCGACAGAGAGAGACUCCAUCUCAAAAAAAAAAAAAAAAAUCAAAAAGGAAAAGAAGCACUGAAGAAAUCCAUAACCGUUGGAGAAGCUUGAAUCAGUAGUUGAUAAUGUCCCUCCAAGAAAAGACCAGAUGUAAGUGACUGUACAGGAAAGUUCUGCCAAAUGUCAAAGGGAAUAGAUAAAUAUCACAUAAACUCUUCCAGAGAAUACAAGAAAAGGAACACUCCCCAACUUAUUUUAUAAACUUGGUUAAAUCUUGAUAGCAAAAUUUAAUAAGGACACCAUGACAAGUGAAAUUAUAAGCAAAUUUUACUUACAGUUAUAUGCAAAAGUUCUAAACAAAAUACUGGACAACUGAAUCUAAUUUUGAAUAAUACUAGCAAGAAUAAUAAUAAUAACAAUAAUAAUAAUAAUAAUGCAUCAUGACCAAGUUGGGUUUACCUCAAGAAUGCAAAUAUAGUUUAAAACUGGAAAAUCUAGUAGUGAAAUUUACCACACUAAGAAAUAAAGAAGAAAAAUUAUGUCAUCUCAACAGAUCGAAAAAUUUUCUAAAAUCCAACCAAAUAUUAGCAAAAAAGCAAUAAAGGAAAAUUUCUUAACUU
This 2061-nucleotide long non-coding RNA is filed under the name Homo sapiens (human). Its description in RNAcentral is "HSALNT0353845". The record is from RNAcentral. Lineage: Eukaryota; Metazoa; Chordata; Mammalia; Primates; Hominidae.